UACACUCCUGCAGGAGGCAGCAGUGGGGAAUAUUGGACAAUGGGCGCAAGCCUGAUCCAGCCAUGCCGCGUGAGUGAUGAAGGCCCUAGGGUUGUAAAGCUCUUUCACCGGAGAAGAUAAUGACGGUAUCCGGAGAAGAAGCCCCGGCUAACUUCGUGCCAGCAGCCGCGGUAAUACGAAGGGGGCUAGCGUUGUUCGGAAUUACUGGGCGUAAAGCGCACGUAGGCGGAUCGAUCAGUCAGGGGUGAAAUCCCAGGGCUCAACCCUGGAACUGCCUUUGAUACUGUCGAUCUGGAGUAUGGAAGAGGUGAGUGGAAUUCCGGGUGUAGAGGUGAAAUUCGUAGAUAUUCGGAGGAACACCAGUGGCGAAGGCGGCUCACUGGUCCAUUACUGACGCUGAGGUGCGAAAGCGUGGGGAGCAAACAGGAUUAGAUACCCUUGUAGUCCCAUGA
This 452-nucleotide ribosomal RNA is filed under the name uncultured organism. Its description in RNAcentral is "partial 16S ribosomal RNA". It matches the Rfam family "Bacterial small subunit ribosomal RNA", at positions 332 to 800 of the family's 1533-position model. The record is from RNAcentral.